ACAAAUGUCAGGUUAAUUUUGUUCCUAGCUCGAUAUUCAAGAAAUACACGCUUUUCUUCCAAGAUCACUAGAAAGGUUCCUCUGUGCAUAUUUUAAUUACAGUGGCAAUGGAUCUAUCUGUAUCCUGGAGUGCAUGUGUGUCUAUGAGAUUCUCUUAAAUAAAUAUCUUGUAUUCAACACCUUAUUUACAGAAUUUAAGGCUUGCAAGAACCACAUCAGUUCCUAGACUACCUCUUUAGAAAACACAGGCCAGAAAACUUCACCAACAAAUUUUCUGUAAGUAGAUCGAGUGCUGAAAACUUCGCAGACAUACUGCCGCUGCCUGGAAGCUAAUGAUAAGGGAAGAGUCUUGUUUGCAGCCCAGUAUUGCUCGUCGCUCAGGCCAGGAACCUGGCAUCUUCUCUGUGACCUGCAGCUCCUCACAUCCAGGACGUGUCCAGAUCCUGCCAGUUAUUUCUGCAGAACACCUCCCGGAUCCUCGUUCGAGCCAUCUUCAUCCCGUAUCUUGAUUACUGAAGCACGCGGCCCUUAUUCAGGCCCCUUACGAAGAACAUUUUCCCUCUCCAUCACCUGAACCGUGUCAAAGCUCUCGGGGUGAAAGGGUGUUACUCAAAUCCAGAUUUUCCCCAACGCUCCUGGAUUCAUUCCUCGGUUGCUAUGACUGAAGUGUGGGAAUUAAGGUACAUCCUUAUAGCUGAACAAGACUGACAUCAUUAGGAUUUCAGACUCUUCUACUACUG
Long non-coding RNA from Cygnus olor (mute swan), 740 nucleotides. RefSeq lists it as uncharacterized. Lineage: Eukaryota; Metazoa; Chordata; Aves; Anseriformes; Anatidae. The record is from RefSeq and is a predicted model, not a curated record. The transcript has 3 exons.